UAGGGACCAGAGACUUCCCUGUCAGCUCAGGGAAAUAUAUCCUCUGACUGCAUGGGAGGCCAGAUCUCAUCAGACAGCCACGAAGUGUCACAGCUCAACG
Non-coding RNA from Methanosarcina mazei, 100 nucleotides. The record is from Rfam. NCBI's taxonomy places the organism in Archaea, Methanobacteriati, Methanobacteriota, Methanomicrobia, Methanosarcinales, Methanosarcinaceae.